GGCAGAGCGAAUCGCUAAAAGCCGUCCCAGUUCGGAUUGCAGGCUGCAACCCGCCUGCAUGAAGUUGGAAUCGCUAGUAAUCGCGGAUCAGCAUGCCGCGGUGAAUACGUUCCCGGGCCUUGUACACACCGCCCGUCACACCACGGAAGUUGGGAGUACCCAAAGUAGGUUGCCUAACCGCAAGGAGGGCGCUUCCUAAGGUAAGACCGAUGACUGGGGUGAAGUCGUAACAAGGUACC
This 239-nucleotide ribosomal RNA is filed under the name uncultured bacterium. Its description in RNAcentral is "partial 16S ribosomal RNA". It matches the Rfam family "Bacterial small subunit ribosomal RNA", at positions 1261 to 1500 of the family's 1533-position model. The record is from RNAcentral.